RNAcentral lists this ribosomal RNA (238 nucleotides) under uncultured bacterium. RNAcentral's name for it is "partial 16S ribosomal RNA". It matches the Rfam family "Bacterial small subunit ribosomal RNA", at positions 96 to 334 of the family's 1533-position model. The record is from RNAcentral.
CGGCGGACGGGUGAGUAACGCGUGGGUAACCUACCCUGUACACACGGAUAACAUACCGAAAGGUAUGCUAAUACAGGAUAAUAUAUUUGAGAGGCAUCUCUUGAAUAUCAAAGGUGAGCCAGUACAGGAUGGACCCGCGUCUGAUUAGCUAGUUGGUAAGGUAACGGCUUACCAAGGCGACGGUCAGUAGCCGACCUGAGAGGGUGAUCGGCCACAUUGGAACUGAGACACGGUCCAA